AGCGAACGCUGGCGGCAGGCUUAGCACAUGCAAGUCGAGCGGGCACUUCGGUGUCAGCGGCAGACGGGUGAGUAACACGUGGGAACGUACCCUUCGGUUCGGAAUAACGCUGGGAAACUAGCGCUAAUACCGGAUACGCCCUUUUGGGGAAAGGUUUACUGCCGAAGGAUCGGCCCGCGUCUGAUUAGCUAGUUGGUGGGGUAAUGGCCUACCAAGGCGACGAUCAGUAGCUGGUCUGAGAGGAUGAUCAGCCACACUGGGACUGAGACACGGCCCAGACUCCUACGGGAGGCAGCAGUGGGGAAUAUUGGACAAUGGGCGCAAGCCUGAUCCAGCCAUGCCGCGUGAGUGAUGAAGGCCUUAGGGUUGUAAAGCUCUUUUGUCCGGGACGAUAAUGACGGUACCGGAAGAAUAAGCCCCGGCUAACUUCGUG
Molecule: ribosomal RNA, 433 nt
Filed under: uncultured bacterium
Lineage: Bacteria
Description: partial 16S ribosomal RNA
Rfam family: Bacterial small subunit ribosomal RNA
Source: RNAcentral